This 285-nucleotide unclassified non-coding RNA is filed under the name uncultured fungus. Its description in RNAcentral is "partial contains 5.8S ribosomal RNA, internal transcribed spacer 2, and large subunit ribosomal RNA". Lineage: Eukaryota; Fungi. The record is from RNAcentral.
AACGCACAUUGCACCCGGUGGUAUUCUGCCGGGUAUGCCUGUUCGAGCGUCAUUUCUGCCCUCAGGCCUUGCCGCUCAGGCGGUGUAGGUACUGGUGUUGGGAGCUUACAGCGCUGGAUGUCCUCCAGGCGCUGUAGUCCCUAAUUUUAUCGGCGUACACGUGUACGUUGCCCCCUGCGUAGUGGUUUUUUCUUUCUCGCAUCGGGCCGUGCCGCCGUGCCGCCGCAAAACCUUUUACAACAUGAGUUUGACCUCGAAUCAGGUAGGGUUACCCGCUGAACUUAA